CAGUAACUAAUUAUAUAAACAAUAAUACAACAUAAAAGGCGAUAAUUGCAGAAAGAACGAUCUUCACCAGUGGGCGGCGCUCUCGUCACAGCAAAGGGCGGGGCCUGUGUUAAUGGAGGCGGGGUCUAUCGUGAGUGGGCGUGUCUUCAUUGUGUGUCAUGUCUGCUUGUGUUUCUUCUUCUUCUUCUGCUGUGUUCUGUGGCGCCACGUUGAUCGAGCGAUCAUCAUCAGACCGCAGAUUACAGUGGUGUGGUGCAGACGUCAUCAUCAGACCGGUUUAUAUCACAAGUCAAGCGCUCCGCAUCGGAUCGGGUCAGGCAGACGCACGCGGCGCUGGUGGCACCGAGUCCUCAUGUAAGUAGCCCAUCCUCCACCGCUGCUUUCUUUAUCCU
This 392-nucleotide long non-coding RNA is filed under the name Sinocyclocheilus anshuiensis. RNAcentral's name for it is "lncRNA (ENSSANG00000050712.1)". The record is from RNAcentral. Lineage: Eukaryota; Metazoa; Chordata; Actinopteri; Cypriniformes; Cyprinidae.